RNAcentral lists this ribosomal RNA (497 nucleotides) under uncultured bacterium. Its description in RNAcentral is "partial 16S ribosomal RNA". It matches the Rfam family "Bacterial small subunit ribosomal RNA", at positions 28 to 507 of the family's 1533-position model. The record is from RNAcentral.
GAUGAACGCUGGCGGCGUGCCUAAUACAUGCCAGUCGAGCGAACGGACGAGAAGCUUGCUUCUCUGAUGUUAGCGGCGGACGGGUGAGUAACACGUGGAUAACCUACCUAUAAGACUGGGAUAACUUCGGGAAACCGGAGCUAAUACCGGAUGAUAUUUUGAACCGCAUGGUUCAAAAGUGAAAGACGGUCUUGCUGUCACUUAUAGAUGGAUCCGCGCUGCAUUAGCUAGUUGGUAAGGUAACGGCUUACCAAGGCAACGAUGCAUAGCCGACCUGAGAGGGUGAUCGUCCACACUGGAACUGAGACACGGUCCAGACUCCUACGGGAGGCAGCAGUAGGGAAUCUUCCGCAAUGGGCGAAAGCCUGACGGAGCAACGCCGCGUGAGUGAUGAAGGUCUUCGGAUCGUAAAACUCUGUUAUUAGGGAAGAACAUAUGUGUAAGUAACUGUGCACAUCUUGACGGUACCUAAUCAGAAAGCCACGGCUAACUACGUG